AGAGUGAACGCUGGCGGUAGGCCUAACACAUGCAAGUCGAACGGCAGCGCGGUAAGAGCUUGCUCUUAUGGGUGGCGAGUGGCGGACGGGUGAGGAAUACAUCGGAAUCUACCUUUUGGUGGGGGAUAACGUAGGGAAACUUACGCUAAUACCGCAUACGCCCUUCGGGGGAAAGCCGGGGACCAGCAAUGGCCUGGUGCUGAUAGAUGAGCCGAUGUCGGAUUAGCUAGUUGGUGAGGUAAUGGCUCACCAAGGCGACGAUCCGUAGCUGGUCUGAGAGGAUGAUCAGCCACACUGGAACUGANACACGGUCCAGACUCCUAACGGGAGCAGCAGUAGGGGAAUAGUUGG
This 351-nucleotide ribosomal RNA is filed under the name uncultured soil bacterium. RNAcentral describes it as "bacterial SSU rRNA". It matches the Rfam family "Bacterial small subunit ribosomal RNA", at positions 26 to 368 of the family's 1533-position model. The record is from RNAcentral.